Molecule: ribosomal RNA, 35 nt
Filed under: Fusarium sp. HMUT130509
Lineage: Eukaryota; Fungi; Ascomycota; Sordariomycetes; Hypocreales; Nectriaceae
Description: partial 18S ribosomal RNA
Source: RNAcentral
GGUCUCCGUUGGUGAACCCAGCGGAGGGAUCAUUA